CCUGUCCCUAGGGUAUGGUGGGUGUGGCUGCCAUGUCACAUGUGCAUCAGUAGGUGGCAGAGAGGAGAGAGGCUAUGUUUCCCCGCAGCAGCAUUCUGACUUAUGAACAUCUGAAUGAUUAGCAACUUAGCAUU
Arvicanthis niloticus (Nile rat) is the source of this 134-nucleotide small nucleolar RNA. RefSeq annotates it as small nucleolar RNA SNORA17. The record is from RefSeq and is a predicted model, not a curated record. Lineage: Eukaryota; Metazoa; Chordata; Mammalia; Rodentia; Muridae.